RNAcentral lists this ribosomal RNA (253 nucleotides) under uncultured bacterium. Its description in RNAcentral is "partial 16S ribosomal RNA". It matches the Rfam family "Bacterial small subunit ribosomal RNA", at positions 524 to 776 of the family's 1533-position model. The record is from RNAcentral.
UACAGAGGGUGCGAGCGUUAAUCGGAAUUACUGGGCGUAAAGCGUGCGCAGGCGGUUUUGUAAGCCAGAUGUGAAAGCCCCGGGCUUAACCUGGGAAUGGCAUUUGGGACUGCAAGGCUUGAGUGCGGCAGAGGAGACUGGAAUUCCUGGUGUAGCAGUGAAAUGCGUAGAUAUCAGGAGGAAUACCGAUGGCGAAGGCAGGUCUCUGGGCUGACACUGACGCUCAUGCACGAAAGCGUGGGGAGCAAACAGG